GGGAAGCCAAAAAGAGAGCAAGGAAAGAUGAGAGGAACCUUUUUAAAAAAGAAAUUAAUCUGUAUUUUACUAAACAAAAGGAUAAAUAUUCAAAAAUAAUUUAUCUCCAACUGAUUUCCCCUUUAUUUCAUUUCCCAACCAAAAAUAAGGAUAUCCAAAAUCUUCUCCCUUUUUCCCUGCAUUCUACUAAUGACUAAAUAGCACAGCAAGCUAGAAGGAAAAGUUGCCAAAUCUACAAACUGAUUGACAACCUCUGACCUUGUGACCAAGCUU
RNAcentral lists this unclassified non-coding RNA (273 nucleotides) under Hevea brasiliensis (rubber tree). Lineage: Eukaryota; Viridiplantae; Streptophyta; Magnoliopsida; Malpighiales; Euphorbiaceae. The record is from RNAcentral.